CCUAACCUUGUAAUCAACUGUUACUUGACUUAUACAUGCAAGUCUCCGCACUCCGGUGAGAACGCCCUUAAUUUCUUUUUGAAACAAGGAGCCGGUAUCAGGCACAAUAAUUUUGCCCAAAACACCUAGCUUCGUCACAUCCACAAGGAUAUCCAGCAGUAAUUAACAUUGAGUAUAAGUGUCAACUUGACUCAGUCAAAGUAAAGAGGGUCGGCUAAUAUUGGUGCCAGCCGCCGCGGUUACACCACGAGACUCAAAUUGAUUGCUUUCGGCGUAAAGCGUGAUUAAAGUUACUCUACAAAUUAUAGUUCAACCAUAACUAGGCUGCAGUACGCUUGUCUAUGGGAAAUCCAGAAACGAAAGUUAUUAUAAUUAUUUCAACUUGAAUCCACGACAGCUAAGGCACAAACUGGGAUUAGAUACCCCACUAUGCUUAGCCGUAAACUUUAAAUUACAUUCACAUCGCCCGGGAACUACGAGCAAAGCUUAAAACCCAAAGGACUUGACGGUACCCCACAUCCACCUAGAGGAGCCUGUCCUGUAAUCGAUAAUCCCCGCUAAACCUCACCAUUUUUAGCUAAUCAGCCUGUAUACUUCCGUCGCCAGCUUACCACGUGAGCGUUAAUUAGUGAGCUUAAUGUCUUUACUUCAAUACGUCAGGUCAAGGUGCAGCAAAUAAAAUGGGAAGAGAUGGGCUACACUCUCUAAUUUAGAAUACACGAAUGACUAUUUAUGAAAUCUAGUCGGAAGGCGGAUUUAGUAGUAAAAAGAGACAAGAGAGCUCUUUUUAAACCAGGCGCUGGGGUGUGUACAUACCGCCCGUCAUCCUCUUCGAAGCAAAUAAUCAGUAAUUAACUAAUUUUUAGCACCUUAGAAGAGGCAAGUCGUAA
Molecule: non-coding RNA, 890 nt
Filed under: Smilisca sila (Panama cross-banded treefrog)
Lineage: Eukaryota; Metazoa; Chordata; Amphibia; Anura; Hylidae
Description: partial 12S ribosomal RNA
Rfam family: Bacterial small subunit ribosomal RNA
Source: RNAcentral